GAGGGUGAAAGUAGCACUGUCACCAACUGUGUCAUUUUGUUACUGGACUGUCGAAAGGGUGGUUCAAAAUGAAUCUGAAACACACCAAUAAUGCUUUCCAUCUCGGCCUUUGCCCUUGCAGGGUGCCUGUGGCUCCCGGCUGCGCCGUUUGGACUCCAGUCAGCAGGAACGUGACGCAAAGCCGAGGGAGUGAAAGGCUGCCAGGGAAAUGAGCACGCAGGGAUUGGAGAGCUUCUGCCCUUAUACCUGAGCACUUCCUGCAAGGCGCAUGGUGGGUUUUGUGACCUGAGAGUCACCACAGUUCAUCUCCCAGGAGGUGUCGACUUUUCCCAUCGGGCAGAUGAGGGUGUUGCGCUCCAAGGCUCCCGUCUGAGGAGAAGGAGGGUUGAUGGCCCUGGGGCUGUCCUGAGUGGCAUAGAAUCCAGUGAAGUCAGAUGCUCGCCGUCGCCAGGAGAAAUGGUGAAUCCAUUGCCAUUUCAUGGGCACCCCACUUUCCUUGAAGCUUUCCUCUGGUGUCUCCUGGUUUCAAGAGCCCUUUCUUUGGCAAGUACACCCUUCCAGCCCUUCAACUGUCCCUGUCAUGCAAGGGAAAACACCAUAUAAUUCUGUAGCUUAGCAUUUAAUACUUAAUGUUUUUUAUUGUUUGUGUUGUUUUGUUUUGGUUUUCCUUAGGAAAUACUGGGGAUCGAACCCAGGACCUCAUACAUGGAAAGCAGGCGCUCAACCACUGAGCUACAUCCAUGCCCACUUAAUGUUGAUUUUGAGAUCUCUCCUCAUUGAUACAUAUUAAUCUGGUUCGUUUUAAAGCAGCUGUCAUUCAAAUGAAAUUGCAACAAUAUAUUCUCUAUCCUAAGGAUUUUGGGUCUUGUAUGGACAUUUCUACUUUUCACCAAUAUUUAAACCUCUUUCUCCAUCAGGGCAUCUGAAAGGAUUGUUCUGCCUUGCCUCUUAAAGCUAAGUAUAGCCUGCAGCUUGCUUUGACCAAUGAGAUGGGAGUGGAAAUGAUAUGUGCCACUUUAUUUAAUUAAAUGCUGAAGCAUUUGGUUCCCCAUGUAAGCUUGCCCAGGACCCUCUUUCCCACAGGGAGACCCAUAAAAGCAAGCAGCUUGCAACGCUGAGCCAACACCCUCAGGACAGCUGGUCUGGAAUGUUGCCCAGACCUACACCAGACUUUAUCUAAGCUGGAAAUAAACUUUUAUUGAGUGAUGCUUCCAAGAUAUUUUGGGUUGGUUGUUAGUGCAGAAAACCCACCCUAUCCUGACUAACCAAAGUUGGUUCCAAUUUUUUGUUAUUAUGAAAUGUGCAGUGCUAGGCUUUUGUGUGCUCCAUGUGUUUAUGUCUCUCUGGUGCUAUUGGCUGGACACAGAGUUGUUGGGCCAAAGGGCAGCUGCAUUUUCAACCAGCACUCCUCGUGUGGCUAACGGGCUGCACUGGUUUAUACUCACACUAGUGCAGGAAAGAGCUCAGCACUUGGUAUUUUAGACUUUGAAUUUCAUUGAUUUACUUUGCAAUAGAUAAACUCUUCAGCAGUACAGUGUAAGCUUGGGACCUCCAAAAUAUUAGAGUUUUCCAUGUAAUCAAAGUAAUAUAUCUUUUAAUGAGGAAAAAUCAUUUGGCACACAAAAAAGGACAACUCUUUAUGUUGGAAAACAAGAGACGCACAAAUACCUAAG
Long non-coding RNA from Dasypus novemcinctus (nine-banded armadillo), 1673 nucleotides. The record is from Ensembl. NCBI's taxonomy places the organism in Eukaryota, Metazoa, Chordata, Mammalia, Cingulata, Dasypodidae.